CUUCUUAUUCUCAAGUUUGCAAUUCACUAUUCCUACAAAACCUCCAAUCAGCUUUCGCCAUCUGGCUUUCUUUCCUUUAGUUUUCAUUUUUUUCCAAUGGCCUCUGGGAUACGACUAACCAUUCAUCAUCCCCAUCUCAAUCGCGUGUUGCCUCUGCUCUCCACCCACUCCGUCGUACGCUAGCUAGCAAUCGCGUGUUGCCUCUCCCUCUUCACCCACUCCGUUGUACCCUUCGUCAUCUUCUUUUUCAUUGAUUUCUCUUCUGAAAUCAACCCUAGCUAGCUUUCCACUUCUCCAAAUCCAUCCAAACCCUAGAUGUGUUUCCGUGUUUAAGUUGCUCUUUCCAUCCACUUCUCACCAAUCCAUCAACUUCGUCUUUUCGAUUGAUCUGAUGUCGCCUUUGUCUUCGUCGCCGGUUGCUGUUCAUCCGCCAUUCCCUCUUCUCAGUUGCCGAACUUUUUGGGUUGAAUGCAUCUUCGAAGGUUGAUUUUGUGAUCAAAUGAUUCCAUUCAAAGCUUAUGUCCUGUAAGAGAAGCAUAAAAGAUCAGAGCAAGGGUGAUCAGAAAGGGAGCUCCAUAGUUGGCAAUUGUGAUCUUGAAUUUGCUGAAGGACUGUUUGUCGGCGGUAAAUUAUGGCCACUCCUAAACAUAUUAGUGAACUGAUACAUGUGGAAGGCAUGUCAAUGUAUGAAUUCAAAAGCCACUUGCAAGGGGAAAUAUCUGAUAAAGACCAUGAAUGAGUUAGAGUUCUUAUGACUCUUAAAGUUGAAAGGCUUAAAGUUUCACAUUGGAGAACUCAACGAUCAUACCUCAUUGCUUAAAAGGUCUCUGUUGGUAGAGGGAGGAAUAUGACAAGGUGUAUCUAUGGAGAAUAGGAGCUCGAGUCUGUUGGGCUUAUAAAUGAAGGGAAGAUGCAUUAAAUUGUGACGGCACAAGAAUGAGGAGAAGGUGAGCCAUCAAAAUUGUGAUAGGGAAGGGACAUAUCAAUUAUGCUUGAGUUUAAGUUCUUCAAUUAUGACGGCACAAGAAUGAAGUUUUUUGAUUAGGGAGGCACUCAUUCUCAAUUUCUCACUCUUAACAUAAAUUCUGGUUCCAAAUUUUGUCUGUCUUUCCUCCAAAAUCAAUCAUCUUGAUCCUUAGAUGUAAAAUCAAGACUCUUAUGUCAUGUAUAAUAUGUAAUUUGUUCA
This is a long non-coding RNA of Lotus japonicus, 1186 nucleotides long. RefSeq lists it as uncharacterized. The record is from RefSeq and is a predicted model, not a curated record. Lineage: Eukaryota; Viridiplantae; Streptophyta; Magnoliopsida; Fabales; Fabaceae. The transcript is spliced from 6 exons.